UGGGGAAUAUUGCACAAUGGGCGCAAGCCUGAUGCAGCCAUGCCGCGUGUAUGAAGAAGGCCUUCGGGUUGUAAAGUACUUUCAGCGAGGAGGAAGGCGUUGUGGUUAAUAACCGCAACGAUUGACGUUACUCGCAGAAGAAGCACCGGCUAACUCCGUGCCAGCAGCCGCGGUAAUACGGAGGGUGCAAGCGUUAAUCGGAAUUACUGGGCGUAAAGCGCACGCAGGCGGUCUGUCAAGUCGGAUGCGAAAUCCCCGGGCUCAACCUGGGAACUGCAUCCGAAACUGGCAGGCUAGAGUCUUGUAGAGGGGGGUAGAAUUCCAGGUGUAGCGGUGAAAUGCGUAGAGAUCUGGAGGAAUACCGGUGGCGAAGGCGGCCCCCUGGACAAAGACUGACGCUCAGGUGCGAAAGCGUGGGGAGCAAACA
Molecule: ribosomal RNA, 427 nt
Filed under: uncultured bacterium
Lineage: Bacteria
Description: partial 16S ribosomal RNA
Rfam family: Bacterial small subunit ribosomal RNA
Source: RNAcentral